Molecule: ribosomal RNA, 429 nt
Filed under: uncultured bacterium
Lineage: Bacteria
Description: partial 16S ribosomal RNA
Rfam family: Bacterial small subunit ribosomal RNA
Source: RNAcentral
UGGGGAAUUUUGGACAAUGGGGGCAACCCUGAUCCAGCAAUGCCGCGUGUGUGAAGAAGGCCUUCGGGUUGUAAAGCACUUUUGUCCGGAAAGAAAACGCCGUGGUUAAUACCCGUGGGCGGAUGACGGUACCGGAAGAAUAAGCACCGGCUAACUACGUGCCAGCAGCCGCGGUAAUACGUAGGGUGCAAGCGUUAAUCGGAAUUACUGGGCGUAAAGCGUGCGCAGGCGGUCCGCUAAGACAGAUGUGAAAUCCCCGGGCUUAACCUGGGAACUGCAUUUGUGACUGGCGGGUUAGAGUAUGGCAGAGGGGGGUAGAAUUCCACGUGUAGCAGUGAAAUGCGUAGAGAUGUGGAGGAAUACCGAUGGCGAAGGCAGCCCCCUGGGCCAAUACUGACGCUCAUGCACGAGAGCGUGGGGAGCAAACCA